Molecule: ribosomal RNA, 342 nt
Filed under: Stenotrophomonas maltophilia
Lineage: Bacteria; Pseudomonadati; Pseudomonadota; Gammaproteobacteria; Lysobacterales; Lysobacteraceae
Description: bacterial SSU rRNA
Rfam family: Bacterial small subunit ribosomal RNA
Source: RNAcentral
ACACAUGCAAGUCGAACGGCAGCACAGGAGAGCUUGCUCUCUGGGUGGCGAGUGGCGGACGGGUGAGGAAUACAUCGGAAUCUACUCUGUCGUGGGGGAUAACGUAGGGAAACUUACGCUAAUACCGCAUACGACCUACGGGUGAAAGCAGGGGACCUUCGGGCCUUGCGCGAUUGAAUGAGCCGAUGUCGGAUUAGCUAGUUGGCGGGGUAAAGGCCCACCAAGGCGACGAUCCGUAGCUGGUCUGAUAGGAUGAUCAGCCACACUGGAACUGAGACACGGUCCUCACUCCUACGGGAGGCAGCCUUGGGGAAUAUUGGACAAUGGGCGGAAGCCUGAUCC